GCCAGGUGUGGUGGUGCAUGCCUGUAGUCCCAGCUACUCUGGAGGCUGAGAUGGGAGGAUUGCUUGAGCCCGGGAGGCCGAGGGUGCAGUGAGCUGAGAUUGCACCACUGCAUUCCAGCCUGGGUGACAAAGUGAGACCCUGUCUCAA
RNAcentral lists this signal recognition particle RNA (148 nucleotides) under Nomascus leucogenys (northern white-cheeked gibbon). RNAcentral's name for it is "Metazoan signal recognition particle RNA". It matches the Rfam family "Metazoan signal recognition particle RNA". From Rfam's summary of the family: The signal recognition particle (SRP) is a universally conserved ribonucleoprotein. It is involved in the co-translational targeting of proteins to membranes. The record is from Rfam by way of RNAcentral. Lineage: Eukaryota; Metazoa; Chordata; Mammalia; Primates; Hylobatidae.